RNAcentral lists this transfer RNA (65 nucleotides) under Luciogobius grandis. RNAcentral's name for it is "tRNA-Cys". Lineage: Eukaryota; Metazoa; Chordata; Actinopteri; Gobiiformes; Gobiidae. The record is from RNAcentral.
AGCUCUGAGGUGUUAACAUGUAAGAUUGCAAAUCUUAAGUAGCAGAUUGACGUCUGCCGGGGCUU